AACGAACGCUGGCGGCAGGCCUAACACAUGCAAGUCGAGCGAGGACUUCGGUCCUAGCGGCGGACGGGUGAGUAACGCGUGGGAACGUGCCCUUUGCUUCGGAAUAGCCCUGGGAAACUGGGAGUAAUACCGGAUGAGCCCUUUGGGGGAAAGAUUUAUCGGCGAAGGAUCGGCCCGCGUUGGAUUAGGUAGUUGGUGGGGUAAUGGCCUACCAAGCCGACGAUCCAUAGCUGGUUUGAGAGGAUGAUCAGCCACACUGGGACUGAGACACGGCCCAGACCCCGGGGGGAGGGAGCAGGGGGAAAUCGAAGACAAGGGGAAAGGCCCUGAUCGACCCAUGCGGGGGGAGAGAUGAGGGCCUUGGGGUAAAAAGGCUUUUAAGGCUGGGAGUAAAAUGAGGGUACAGAAAAAAGAAGCCCGGGCAACCCCCGCG
RNAcentral lists this ribosomal RNA (433 nucleotides) under uncultured bacterium. RNAcentral's name for it is "partial 16S ribosomal RNA". It matches the Rfam family "Bacterial small subunit ribosomal RNA", at positions 29 to 507 of the family's 1533-position model. The record is from RNAcentral.